CAAUAGCGUAUAUUAAAGUUGUUGCAGUUAAAAAGCUCGUAGUUGGAUCUGUGGCGUACGGUGGGCUCCGGGCACUUGUUGUCUGAGUAGCUUGCCGUUGCCAUCCUUGGGUGGAACCUGUGUGGCAUUAGGUUGUCGUGCAGGGGAUGCCCAUCGUUUACUGUGAAAAAAUUAGAGUGUUCAAAGCAGGCUUAUGCCGUUGAAUAUAUUAGCAUGGAAUAAUGAGAUAGGACUUUUUCGCUAUUUUGUUGGUUUGCGCGAAGAGGUAAUGAUUAAUAGGGACAGUUGGGGGUAUUCGUAUUCCAUUGUCAGAGGUGAAAUUCUUGGAUUUUUGGAAGACGAACUACUGCGAAAGCAUUUACCAAGGAUGUUUUCAUUAA
Molecule: ribosomal RNA, 380 nt
Filed under: uncultured eukaryote
Lineage: Eukaryota
Description: partial 18S ribosomal RNA
Rfam family: Eukaryotic small subunit ribosomal RNA
Source: RNAcentral